UGUGCGAAUCUCUCGCCAAUCACGGGUCAAAUCACUGCCAUAUUAGGGAAAUAACCUCACGAAGGACGAAAUCAGAUGAGUGCUCGUCAAGAAGUUUGAAGAGACCCUGACAACGGGAACACUAAUAUAGUACUCCCAUUUAUCUGAAAAUUCUAUUAGUACUUUUGCUGAACUUGCAGAUGCUUCCAUCAAGGCGUACUCUGGAGCCUAAAAGGUGAAAAACCAAGUGGAGGAUUAUUCAUAGUCAUGCAGGGAAAAACAUAAUCGCUCCGAGAUUUCAUACCUUGAUUUUUGAGGGAGACAAUGAUGCUUCCUGAAGUACCAGACAAUUGCGCCGUUGUGGCUUUUACACGACAUCAUAACCUGAGCAACUCCAAAGCUUCAAAGUAACUAAAAGAAAACUUACAAGAAUUCCCUGCCAAAACAUGAAAUAAUGUAUAUCACAAGUACAACACUAAGCUCUGAAAAGAGGAUAACAUCUCGGUACUAUCAGGAUUUGAAGCCAAAGAGCCAGUGGGAUAUAGCCAUCGGAACAAAUCAUUUUUUGAGAUAGGAUGAGCCCAGGUAUUGAGAUUCUAGAUCUCGGUAUGAACCUUAUUCUAGUCCCAUGCACCGGAAGAAUGACAAAAGGCCCAAAUCGAGUCGUGACGAUAGAAAUCUCGGACGGAAGAAUGAUAAAGUGCCUCAUCAAUUAGAAAAAGAAAUAGAAACAUCAAAAAUCGGUGAUUAUCAUCUCCGACCAAAGUUGGCCGACUACAAAUUCAAUGUCAGCACCACUGAUCUGGUGGUGAUGCUCAGGCAAAUGGGGGAAAUAGUAAGAUGGCAAAAGGAGAUGAGAAUGGACCCAUAUAAGCAUAUACACAAAUUCUGGUGCGAGUUCCAGAGUGACCAUUACUACAAAACCUUUGUCACACAAGCUCUCAAAGGUAUCCAUCACCUAUGAGAAGCGACCUGACAGAUCCUCGCCAGAUAAGAAAUUACAUUCAAUGAUGAGGACGUAGAUAGACAGCUCGCGCCAUACAAUGACAGAAUGGUAAUUACUAUAUGAAUUGUUGAUAGUGAUAUUAGACAUGCUUUAGUUGACCCAUGUAGAUCGUCCAAUAUCAUUAAAAUACGAGUAAUCAAGGAGAUGAAGACUAAGGAUUGGAUUAUCCCAAAAACACUACUACUCUCCGGAUACAAUAACUCUAGUAAAAUAACUAAAGGAGAGAACACCUUGAGGACCUUCACAGAAGGGGUAACUAGAGAUACUCCAUUACAAGUCGUGGUAGGGGACAUGGCCUACAACGCCAUAUUGGGAAGACCAUGGAUACAUGACAUGGAUGCGGUACCUUCAAUCUUGCACCAUGUUAUAAAAUUCACUUUAUCAUGGGGAUAGAGAGAUCUAAGGAGAGCAAAGAACAACCUGGAAGUUAAUUCAAUCACAGCCGCCAGUAUAUUUCCUAAAGGGGAGGAAUAUAAACCUGUGACAGUGCAAGUCAAAUUAGUUUUCGGAAAUCGAAUCGUUGAGUCAGAAAAAACAAGCACUGGCAUUUCAACCAUUAAACACAUGAAUAAGUAAUCUUAUUCAUCCAUGGGAUAGUUGGGAGGUCUAUAGUUGUUCGUCACUUACCCCCGAAUAGAAGCAUAAGUUAAUUGAAUCUUUACGUGAUAACUUUAUUUUUUUUGCUUAGUUUCAUACAAACUAUGGGCUACACUUCUAUCUUUGCCUUUUUGCUGGAAGAAGCUUUAACAGCUUUCUUCCUCUUGCCUUGGGCGGACUCUGCUGCUUCAACAGAGGACCUUAGUUCCAAAUAGGACAAAACCUCUACAACUGGAGCAACAUGAUUAACCUCUUGUUUAUCUAUGGAGUUUUUAAAAAUAAAGAGAGACAAACACAGAGGAAAUGAAAUUAUAGAGAAGAAAAAAUCAAAGAAGACAUUGAGAAAAGAUAAAACCAACGAUGCCAAUUGUGUAUAUUUAUAGGCAAAGGGCAAAGACAAGAAUCUCUAGACAAUCGAGCUAGCACCAAUCACUAAGAGCACCCAUCAUUGCCUAGAAAACUGCCACAGGCAAAGCCUGUGAUAUUUUGCGAUGUGUCAAGAGCAUUCAUUAGAGACUGAGCACAUCUCUCGUCAAUCACAUGUCAAAUCACCACCACAUUAGGCAUACGAAAGAGAAAUCUUUCCUGAUAGUGAUGCCUUUCAAGAUUUUUCCUAUUAGAAGUUUUCCCCUUAUUGGGUAAUUAUUAGGAAGCACUCAAAAAAUGGGGGGACUACGAUAUUGGUAGAACAAGCCUAUUUGAUGGCUAGAUCAAUGGUUUUAGUGCAACUAGCUCAAUUGAUGGAUAGAUCUUAACUUGUGUAGCUCGGCAGAAGACUAUUUAGAUAAAUUGCCAUAUGCAGAACUUAAGACUGGCGACUGUUCAAAAGAUCAUAGUCGGUAAUAGACUAUUUCGAUAAGUUGCCAUACCCGACACUUAAGACCAGGGACUGUUCAAAAGAUCACAGUUGUAAAUGAACUCUUUCAAUAAGUUACCAUACCUGACACUUAAGAUCGGGGAAUGUACAAAAGAUCACAGCCGGCAAUAGUCUUUUACCGUAUCCAGCAGUUAAGAUCGGGGGUUGUUCAAAAAAUUGCAAUCAGUUACGACUCUCAGAACAUUGGUUAUUGAUCCCUUCUUUAUUGUCGAUAUUUCAAAAUAACUCACACCCUAAAAUAAAGAGGAGAUGGCCAC
This 2716-nucleotide long non-coding RNA is filed under the name Nicotiana tabacum (common tobacco). RNAcentral's name for it is "long non-coding RNA (NTAB_LNC000547)". Lineage: Eukaryota; Viridiplantae; Streptophyta; Magnoliopsida; Solanales; Solanaceae. The record is from RNAcentral.